This 258-nucleotide ribosomal RNA is filed under the name uncultured bacterium. RNAcentral describes it as "partial 16S ribosomal RNA". It matches the Rfam family "Bacterial small subunit ribosomal RNA", at positions 96 to 354 of the family's 1533-position model. The record is from RNAcentral.
UGGCGGACGGGUGAGUAACGCGUGGAUAACCUGCCUUUCACAGGGGGAUAACAGCUGGAAACGGCUGCUAAUACCGCAUGAGCCUCUUUUAUCGCAUGACGGGAGAGGGAAAGAGAAAUCGGUGAGAGAUGGAUCCGCGUCCGAUUAGCUAGUUGGAGGGGUAACAGCCCACCAAGGCGACGAUCGGUAGCCGACCUGAGAGGGUGGACGGCCACAUUGGGACUGAGACACGGCCCAAACUCCUACGGAAGGCAGCAG